UACAGACUUCCACACUGGAUGCCAUAGUGUCAGACUGUCCCCCAGCUGCCAUUUGUCACAUGGCAACACUAUGGGAAGGUUCAACCUCUACUGCUAUACCACCAACAUCCACCUCUGACACUGUGGGUCAAUAGACUGAAAUAGGUGGCAUUACUUUCAGCGCAUCCUUCAUGUAGCACUUCAACAAGACACUGUUGAAACAUAUCAUGCCAAGUGCAUCCUAUUACAAUGAUAAGGCAGAUCAUUCAGCUCACUAUUUCUUGUAAUACGCAGGAAACUAACCAAGCAGAGCUUCUAAAACCUCACUGAAGAUUUCUAUAACAGGACAAAACCUCAACAGUGAGAAAGGAAAAGAGAAACAGCAAAGUAUUUCCAUUCGCAUUCCCUCUAUAUCAGCUUUUCAACCAUCACCAGCUACCUCAGAACUAGAUCCAACCAGAAGGGAUAAAUGCCUGGAUCUGCAUCAGCCUAAGUUUGUGUCAGCAAGCAACUGAAAUAACUGAGCAAUAGCUGGACACCCACAGAGAUCAUCCAAAACCAUUAAAUGAAAUAUAUUAUUCGGAUUACAAGGGAAAUUGUACCAACAUUCCCAAAGUUAGCUCACAGCUUAUGGAUUGGACUUCUUUAUAUCUAUUUGGAUUUACUUACUUACUCAGGAUCUUGGAAACCAGAUCACAAAUCAUAUCAGAUAAAUAAAAGAACGUCAGGAAGAGCAGAGAAUAGCUGAAGCCAAUGAGGAUUCUAAAACUGAAACACAGCCUCAAGAAUUUACUUUUCCCCAAUCAACCUGUUUUCUUGCCCAUAUUUCUACUUCAAUAUGAUCUGAGUUAAUAAAAUAGAAUCAUAGAAUGGUUUGGAUUGGAAA
RNAcentral lists this long non-coding RNA (865 nucleotides) under Coturnix japonica (Japanese quail). RNAcentral describes it as "lncRNA (ENSCJPG00005013827.1)". Lineage: Eukaryota; Metazoa; Chordata; Aves; Galliformes; Phasianidae. The record is from RNAcentral.